UACAAUAAAGACAGAAAUCAUUUUCAGA
RNAcentral lists this small RNA (28 nucleotides) under Bombyx mori (domestic silkworm). Its description in RNAcentral is "ovarian small RNA-20116". The record is from RNAcentral. Lineage: Eukaryota; Metazoa; Arthropoda; Insecta; Lepidoptera; Bombycidae.